RNA transcript from Vigna umbellata (rice bean), 5764 nucleotides. It is a transcript of the gene named formin-like protein 18, with no coding region annotated. The record is from RefSeq and is a predicted model, not a curated record. NCBI's taxonomy places the organism in Eukaryota, Viridiplantae, Streptophyta, Magnoliopsida, Fabales, Fabaceae.
UCAUCAUCACAAUUGACCACAUACACAUGUGUUCAUUCUCACAAAACAAAAUGUUAAGAUACGGACACAGAAACACAGAUUGCGUUAGAGAGAGAAACCUCGGAUCGAAAUUGUUCUUCUAAAGUUCUUAUUUUUCUAACAACUAUCCAUAUAUUGUUCAACUCUUUCCCUUUGAAUAUGACAUUAUGUAACUGAGGAUUGAGAUAGAUAUAGUGUGCAUGUGAAGACAAGGACAUUUCCAGAAAAAGUGUUUCUUAAAGACCCAGCAAAAAUCCAGGCCUCUGAUUCCUGAAUACACACUCCCCUACAAUGCCAACACCAAUACUGUCUUCACGAUUACGAUUGCAAUCUAUUUCUAUUUGGUGGGGGAUCUAAAAAAUUUGAGCUUGGAUGCAAUGUGGGUUGAAUUAGGGCAGUUAUAGGUGUCCUACCUGUCAGGGUGACCCUCUUGGAUCUUCCACACAAUGGCAUUGUUCCGCAAGUUCUUCUAUAAGAAGCCCCCAGAUGGGCUUCUAGAAAUCACUGAAAGGGUUUAUGUCUUUGAUUACUGCUUUACCACGGAUGUUAUGGAAGAAGAAGAAUAUAGAGUGUAUCUAGGAGGAAUAAUUGGGCAACUUCGUGGUCACUUCCCUGAUGCUUCAUUUAUGGUGUUCAACAUGAGGGAGGGAGACUGCCAAAGCCAGAUUUCAAACAUUUUGUGUGACUACGAUAUGACUGUGAUAGACUAUCCUCGACAGUAUGAAGGGUGCCCAUUGCUUACCAUGGAGAUGAUCCAUCAUUUCUUGAGAUCAGGUGAAAACUGGCUUGAACUUGGGCAUCACAAUGUUGUCUUGAUGCAUUGUGAACGAGGUGGGUGGCCGUUAUUAGCAUUUAUGCUGGCUGCACUCUUGAUUUAUAGAAAGAUGUUUACAGGGGAGCAAAAAACACUAGACAUGAUAUACAAGCAAGCUCCUCGGGAACUUCUGCAGUUGAUGUCACCAUUGAAUCCUUUAGCUUCACAAUUGAGAUAUCUUCAGUACAUAUCAAGAAGAAAUGUUGGUUCAGAAUGGCCUCCUCUUGAUAGGGCACUUACUUUGGACUGUGUAAUUAUAAGACUCAUUCCUAACAUGGGUGGAGAGGGUGGCUGCCGUCCUAUAUUUAGAAUAUACGGGCAAGACCCUUUUAUUCCUGCAGAUCGAACUCCCAAAGUUCUCUUCUCAACUCCAAAAAGGAGCAAACUUGUUCGCUACUGUAGGCAGGUGGUACCCAAGUCCUUUUACCCUAAUUUAAUAUGCUUUUUAACACCCUUUCUUUUGUUCUUGCUACCUAUAUUGAGAUGUUCCUUCCAUUAUAUGUUCUUACUACCCGAAAUGUUUUUUUUUUUUUCAUAUUUGUUUCAGACUGACUGUGAACUGGUUAAGAUUGACAUCCACUGUCAUGUUCAAGGUGAUGUCGUUUUUGAGUGUAUUCAUCUGCACAGUGAUUUAGAGCAUGAAGAAAUGAUGUUUCGGGUGAUGUUUAAUACAGCAUUCAUAAGAUCAAAUAUUUUGAUGCUUAACCGUGAUGAAAUUGACAUACUAUGGAAUGCUAAAGAUUGCUUCCCUAAGAAUUUUAGAGUGGAGGUUCUUUUCUCAGAUAUGGAUGCUUCAACUUCUGUUAUUUCAAUUGAUCUGCCUCGUGUUGAGGAGAAAGAUGGCCUCCCUGUUGAAGCAUUUGCGAAGGUCAAGGAGAUUUUCAGCAAUGUGGAUUGGCUAGAUUCAAAGGAAGAAGUAGCAAGUGUGCUCCAACAGAUCACAUCUUCAAAUAUCCUUCUGGAAAGAUUAGACUCUGGGGUUUCUGCUGCAACAAGUGACUUGCAAAAGGAGUCAUCUGAAAAGUCUACAGCUGUUUUGAAGGCAUACAGUGAUACAAACAUUCAAACUUCUGCAGUUCAGGGGAAACAUUCUAUAUCCUCAUUAGGAUCGUCUUUGGAUUUAGCUAUGGGAAAUAAGACCGAACCAUUAGAGUCAAAGACAUUGUCCAAAAAUGACAUUGAGACUCUUGAAUGUUCAGGUCAAGGGAACCAACCUAUUCACUCAUUUGGGCUCUCAAAAGAUUCAGAUUCUACUAAAAGGGGGACUGAGUCAUUAGAAUCCAAGGAGAAGGAUAUUGAGUCAUUAGCAUCCACUGAUGCAGAUUCAUUGGCAAAGAAGACUGAUUUGUUAGGAUCAAAGGAGAAAACAUUUGAGUCACUCAACUCCGAGGCAUUUUUGGAAAAUGAUAGCAGAUUCAAAUAUGAACCUAGGCCACUUGCAGAAGUUGAUAACUCAUCUGGUAGUGCUCCUAUGGAAAAGAACAAUGACCCUCUAGAAUUAAAGGUAUCACCAGAAAAUACCCUCAAGACUUCUGCUUCCACGAGUCAGGGGAAACAGCUUACUCCCUCAUUUGGACUCAUAACAGAUUCUAGUUCUCCUGAAAAGCCAGUUGAAUCAUUAGACAAUGCCAAGGUUACAACAUCUAUGCCUCAUGUGGAGAAGUCUAUGCCUCAUGUGGAGAAGUCUAUGCCCUCAAUUGAACCAUAUAAGGAUGCAUAUUCAAUGACACAUGACAUGGGACCAUUAGAAACAAAGUCAUUAACGGAUGGAAAUUCAAUAAAAGAGAAAAUGGGGCAAUUAGAGCAAAUGGUAUUGUCAGAAAAUGAUACCAAGAGUGUCACAUCCACAGCUCAGGGGAAACAAUAUAGUUCUUUACUUGAACAGCCCGUUGAAGCAAGCACAAUUAAAACGAAAAUUGAACCUCUUGAAUUGCAGGUUUCCCUCCAGCUUCCCACUCAAUCAAAAAUAAUUUCUUCACCGGUGCGUCCAGCUGUCCGAUCUGCUUCUGCUUCCACUUCUUAUUUUAACUCCUUAAAAGGUUCACCUGUAGCUAUCUCAAGAUAUCGUAGUGCACCAUCAGCUCUUGGAAUAACAUCUGUGUUGCAGGAUCAUGCAGCAGUGGAUAUCAAAGAAGUAACUCAUCCAGUGACAGUAUCUCCUCCAGCUUCUGUGUUGCCUCCUUCAGACUCCAAGGUGUUAAAUUCUGUAGAGCCUAGUCCCACAGCUAUUCCUCCAGCAUCAUCAUCGCCUUUGCUUCCAUCUUUACCUUUAAAAACUUCAGUUGAUGCUCUUAAAACCACGGAAAAAACUUUUGAAUCCCUUUCUCCUGCAGCUGUAACUACACCACCUCCACCACCUCCACCACCACCACCACCACCACCAUCUUCUCAAUGCGAUCACACUUCAAAUUUGAUGCAAUCUAAUGCUACUCAGUACCCUGAGAAUACAAAUGAGGGUAAGAAACCAUUGGUUGGUCCUCCUCCUCCUCCCCCAUCCCCUUCAAUGCUCGCUCCUCCAAUCCCAUCAUUUUCUCCAGCCCCUUCCCUUCCUGAAACAUCACUUUCCACAACCCAAGAUUCAUGUAAAGGUCCUCCUGCACCGCCACCUCCACCUGCGCUGUCUGGGUUUCCUUCUUCAUUGGGUAUAAAUGAAUCAGUUGCUAUACCUGGCCCUCCUCCUCCUCCCCCGCCUCCACCUCCUAGCCUUUCAAGUUCUGCACCACCAUUAGCACCACCACCACCACCACCCCCUCCUUCCGCUUCUGCAUUCCAAAAUUCUUUGUCUGAGAACUCCAAAAAUGGUCCUCCUGUACCCCCACCUCCACCUCCUAGCCUUCCUGGUUCAACAAUAUCACCUUCAGCGCCACCACCACCUCCUCCUCCAGGUUCUGCGUCCCAAAAUUCUUUGUCUAGCUCCACAAAUGUUCCACCUGUACCCCCACCUCCCCUUUCUGCCAAUGGAUUGUCAAAACCUGGAGUUCCUGGACCACCUUCUGUUCCUGGACCACCUUCUGCUCCUGGACCACCUUCUGCUCCUUUUGGUGAAAAGGGUCGUGGCCUGAUGCGAGCUAAUGCAAAAUUUCAGUCUAGGAGGAGCAAUCUGAAACCUUACCAUUGGCUAAAAUUAACAAGGGCGAUGCAAGGAAGCUUAUGGGCUGAGACACAGAAACUAGAUGAAUUUUGUAGGGCUCCAGAGUUUGACAUGUCAGAACUUGAAACUUUGUUCUCCGCAGCUUCCCCAGCUGCUAAUGAUGGAAAAGGAGGAAAGUUAAAUCGCCGUGCCUCUGGGCAAAAAGUUGAGAAAGUUCAACUGAUUGAGCUCAGGCGGGCCUAUAACUGUGAGAUCAUGCUUACAAAAGUCAAAAUUCCUUUGCCUGACUUGAUGAGUGCUGUGCUUGCAAUGGAUGAUACAGUAUUAGAUAUUGAUCAACUUGAUAACCUCAUAAAAUUCUCUCCAACCAAAGAAGAGAUGGAAACACUCAAGAACUAUGCCGGGAAUAAGGACAACUUGGGAAAGUGUGAGCAGUUCUUCUUAGAAUUGAUGAAAGUUCCAAGAGUGGAAAGCAAGCUAAGAGUUUUCUCUUUUAAGAUGCAAUUCCUGUCCCAGGUUUCAGAGCUUAAAAGAGAUUUGAAUAUUGUGAAUUCUGCAUCUGAAGAGAUAAGGAAUUCAGUCAAGUUGAAAAGAAUCAUGCAGACUAUUCUUUCUCUGGGUAAUGCUUUGAACCAUGGAACUGCAAGAGGUGCGGCUGUUGGGUUUCGAUUGGAUAGUCUCCUUAAACUGACUGAUACACGAUCAAGAAAUAACAAGAUGACUCUUAUGCAUUAUCUCUGUAAGGUGCUUGCUGAAAAACUAGGAGAACUUCUCGAUUUCCAUAAAGACCUAGUGAGUUUGGAGGCGGCAAGCAAGAUACAAUUAAAAUACUUGGCAGAGGAAAUGCAAGCUAUCAGUAAAGGACUAGAGAAAGUAGUUCAGGAAUUGACUGCAUCAGAGAAUGAUGGACCUGUGUCAGAAUACUUCUGCCAGAUUCUGAAGGAAUUUCUUUCUUAUGCUGAAUCUGAAGUAAGGUCUUUGGCUCAACUUUAUGCCAACGUGGGUAGAAAUGCAGAUGCAUUGGCUUUAUACUUUGGUGAAGAUCCAGCACGUUGUCCAUUUGAACAAGUUGUAUCUACGCUGCUCAACUUUGUGAGGUUGUUCGUAAAAGCACAUGAAGAAAAUUGCAAGCAGAUUGAACUAGAGAGAAAAAGAGCAGAGAAGGAAGCAGAGAAUGAGAAGUUGAAGCUAGCUGCUGCCAAGAAGGAGUCUGAACAGAUGAUGAGGACCACUAUAAAGAGUGGGGAUAUUAAAUGAUAUGAUCCUUUGAAGGCCUAAAAACAAGAGUUGUUCCACAGUGAUAAAGAUCCCAUGUGGUUGGAUGAAGAAAACCCUUUGCACAAGUGCAAAAUCAUCUUGUUCGUGGCUGCAUUGACAUUGAUGAUGACCCUAUAACUCAAGUUCUCUAAUGAAAGAAAUGUCGUGCUCAUGGCAUACGGCUGAGGAUUUUGUUCAUGUUAAAAAAGCAGUUUUAUCGUGGUCACUUCAAUGAGGAGUGGUGAACUGUCAGUGUACAAAUUGAUCUUGUUUUACUCUCCUAGUCAAAAGUUGUGUACUCACAUUAGCGAUGUAAAUGUUAAUCCAGUGGUAUAUCCCCCCUAUAAGAUAGGGCAGUAUUUGGAUUUAACUUCAACUUGAGUAGAGGCACCGAUACUGAGUUUUCAUUUAAAGCCCUUAUGCCUUACAUCAACUGAUGAAGGAAAAUGCUUUGUAAAUAUUGAACUUUUGGUUAGAGUACACGUUAUUCAUUUUACUGAAAACUGCUUUGGUUUUCUGUAUCAAAUCCCAUCACCCCUUCGAUCAAAUAGCCCUUGGAGGAAUCCUUAUGGCAUGCUUGGAUA